Molecule: ribosomal RNA, 414 nt
Filed under: uncultured microorganism
Description: bacterial SSU rRNA
Rfam family: Archaeal small subunit ribosomal RNA
Source: RNAcentral
CAGCCGCCGCGGUAAUACCGGCGGCCCGAGUGGCGGUCACUAUUAUUGGGCUUAAAGCGUCCGUAGCCGGGGUGGGAAGUCCUCCGGGAAAUCUGGCCGCUUAACGGUCAGAAUGCCGGAGGAUACUCCCAGCCUAGGGAGCGGGAGAGGCCGAGGGGAUUCCCGGAGUAGGGGGGAAAUCCUAUAAUCCCGGGAGGACCACCUGUGGCGGAGGCGCUCGGCUGGAACGCGUCCGACGGUGAGGGACGAAGGCCAGGGGAGCAAACCGGAUUAGAUACCCGGGUAGUCCUGGCUGUAAACGAUGCGGACUUUGUGUCGGACAAGCUAUGAGCUUGUCCGGUGCCGGAGGGAAACCGUUAAGUCCGCCGCCUGGGGAGUACGGCCGCAAGGCUGAAACUUAAAGGAAUUGGCGGG